This 497-nucleotide ribosomal RNA is filed under the name uncultured bacterium. Its description in RNAcentral is "partial 16S ribosomal RNA". It matches the Rfam family "Bacterial small subunit ribosomal RNA", at positions 28 to 507 of the family's 1533-position model. The record is from RNAcentral.
GAUGAACGCUGGCGGCGUGCCUAAUACAUGCAAGUCGAGCGAACAGACGAGGAGCUUGCUCCUCUGACGUUAGCGGCGGACGGGUGAGUAACACGUGGAUAACCUACCUAUAAGACUGGGAUAACUUCGGGAAACCGGAGCUAAUACCGGAUAAUAUAUUGAACCGCAUGGUUCAAUAGUGAAAGACGGUUUUGCUGUCACUUAUAGAUGGAUCCGCGCCGCAUUAGCUAGUUGGUAAGGUAACGGCUUACCAAGGCAACGAUGCGUAGCCGACCUGAGAGGGUGAUCGCCCACACUGGAACUGAGACACGGUCCAGACUCCUACGGGAGGAAGAAGAAGGGAAUCUUCCGCAAGGGGCGAAAGCCUGAAGGAGAAACGCAGCGUGAGUGAUGAAGGUCUUCGGAUCGAAAAACUCUGUUAUUAGGGAAGAACAAAUGUGUAAGUAACUAUGCACGUCUUGACGGUACCUAAUCAGAAAGACACGGCUAACUACGUG